This 484-nucleotide ribosomal RNA is filed under the name uncultured bacterium. Its description in RNAcentral is "partial 16S ribosomal RNA". It matches the Rfam family "Bacterial small subunit ribosomal RNA", at positions 30 to 507 of the family's 1533-position model. The record is from RNAcentral.
AUUGAACGCUGGCGGCAGGCCUAACACAUGCAAGUCGAGCGGAGGAAGGGAGCUUGCUCCUGGAUUCAGCGGCGGACGGGUGAGUAAUGCCUAAGAAUCUGCCUGGCAGUGGGGGAUAACGUCCGGAAACGGGCGCUAAUACCGCAUACGUCCUGAUGGUGAAAGUGGGGGAUCUUCGGACCUCACGCUAUCAGAUGUGCCUAGGUCGGAUUAGCUAGUUGGUGGGGUAAAGGCGUACCAAGGCGACGAUCCGUAACUGGUCUGAGAGGAUGAUCAGUCACACUGGAACUGAGACACGGUCCAGACUCCUACGAGAGGCAGCAGUGGGGAAUAUUGGACAAUGGGCGAAAGCCUGAUCCAGCAAUGCCGCGGGUGUGAAGAAGGUCUUCGGAUUGUAAAGCACUUUAAGUGGGGAGGAAGGGCAGUAAGUUAAUACCUUGCUGUGUUGACGGUACCAACAGAAUAAGCACCGGCUAACUUCGUG